Spodoptera litura is the source of this 786-nucleotide long non-coding RNA. RefSeq lists it as uncharacterized. NCBI's taxonomy places the organism in Eukaryota, Metazoa, Arthropoda, Insecta, Lepidoptera, Noctuidae. The record is from RefSeq and is a predicted model, not a curated record.
UUUAUUCGUAGUCAAUUGUAGUGUGAAUAUCCUACCACAUAAACGUUUCUUCUACGAAUUUCGCCAAACGAGAAAUGGUUUUUGCUUGGUUAGUGAUAGUCACUAUGUUACUCUUCUCACUUUAUUGGGGAGUAAUGUACGUGAACAGAAAACCGUUCAAUAGUACCAACACCACUACCACAACAGAACGAAUUAUAAUUAGAGCUAAAAGUGUGGAUACAACGUUGUCUUCGGAAUUAAUUAAUGUUACUUCAAAUCAUUCAAAGCGCCAUUUAACUAAUUGGCAUCGGCUACCCGAUGAAACACACACAAAAGAUCUACCUGCUUCCCUACAUAAUUGGCUUCUUUAGGUUAUUGCUAACCACUAUGUUCCUUUUCACAAUUUAUUGGGGAACAUUGCACUCGAAGAGACCACCGCUAAAUACUACUGAUGCCAAUGCUACUAAUACCACCAACACCACUACCACCACAACACAACGAAUAAUAAUUAGAGCUAAAAUUGUGGAUACGACGAUGAAUCCGGAAUUAACUAACAUUACUUCAAGUCCUUCAAAACGACAUUUAACAGAUUGGCGUCGGCUACCCGAUGAAACGCACACAAAAGACCUACCUGCUUACCUACAUAAUUGGCUUUUUUAGGUUUUUAGUAUAUUUUUUUCUUAACGUUACUCCCUCUAAGGCUAAGGACUCACGGUGAGAUUCUCCCGCACCCGCCGCGAUUACGGGCCCGCAGCCUUUAUAGAUAUGUAAUAAAUGAAAGCAAUUUUCACGGCGCUUUUUACGUCC